RNAcentral lists this long non-coding RNA (3875 nucleotides) under Ananas comosus (pineapple). RNAcentral describes it as "long non-coding RNA (ACOM_LNC002017)". The record is from RNAcentral. Lineage: Eukaryota; Viridiplantae; Streptophyta; Magnoliopsida; Poales; Bromeliaceae.
AGUUUCGACCCCAUUUGGUUACCGAAAACUGUACCGAACUGUAAUCUUUAUCAGAUAGCUGUCGGAUUUUAUUUCUCACUCUACAGGUGUCAGAAAAAUAUAAAACUUUAAAUCUAGUCUCAUAAAAAUAUUUCUGACAUCUCCGUCAAUUUUCAUAAUUUUCUGACACUAUGCAUUUUCUGCUAAUUUAUCUGCCCCAUUUUUUACAGAAAAUUCUAAAUCUUCUGUUUUUGCUCCGAUUUCAGCACAGGUCAUUCCCAACUUAUAUUUCAGUUCUCUAAAUCCAAUAAAAAUAGUAUCUCAUACUAUUUUUAUUUAUUUUCACUUUUAUAUUUAAAAUCCGGUAUGUGUUCCACCGCAACCUCACCGGAACCAUUUAAAUAUACACCGUAACUUCAUAGUUUUAGAGGUCUGGUACCUUACAUCCUCCCCUCCUUAAUAAGAGUUUCGUCCCCGAAACUCACUCACUUCAACCCAAUUCACACUCUAAUUCUCUUUAUUGAGUGACAAGGGGUACAGUGCACUUUUGCAUCUCGGAGUGGCCUUUCGCUCAUUGGAACUAUCCAAAGGCCCACUACGGAUGACAUGAGACUAGAUACACUCACAUUUGCCGUGUGUAAGUCCAAAAGUACAUUACGGGUCUCUGUCAUUCUUGGUGGUAGCGCAAGUUGAAACUCAACGACACUACGCGCUUCAACACCAUUCACCACUUGACAUACAAGAACUUUUCUUUGCAUUUACUUUUCCCUCAGGGUAUUACAAUUUGAUUACCAACCUUGCUUGAAGGCAAUAUCAUUGUGCAUCGCUUCAUCGUGAGUGUUCAAAUCGCAUUUGGAUCUUUGCUCUAUCAAGAGAUGGCCCACUCCGGCGCAUCUCGAUUCUGAAUCCAUAAUAGAGCAUUAUCCUCAAGUUCCUCAAUUUCUCCAACAUAACCCAGCCUUCCUGGGCAAUUUCAUAUUCGGGGACCGGUCUCUUCCUGCCUGGGGACCGGUUGCCCCGCGCUGCACAACCCUCAGCCUAGGGGCAACCGGUUCCUCCUUCCUGGGACCGGUCCCCGAGAGCAAGCUUGCGCAGACCAUGUUCGGGAACCGGUCCCUCCCGCCAGGGACCGGUCCCCGAGAGCAAAUCUGCCAAGUGCAGAUUCUUGCACCAUUUGCUCUCGCGGACUCCAUUGCAAUGCACUUUUGGUGCAUUUGACUUCUUCGGCUUUCACGAAGCACUCCCACUCGACAAUUAGUCGAUCCUGAGCGAAGUCCAACUCUCGUAUUUCGAGAAUUCACUUCCUUACUCUAACUCCUCCACAGAGUUAUUGGCUAAACCGUUUACGUCGGCUUUCACAGGCGGACCAAUGGUCGCAAACACUACGUAGGUCUAUCGCCUAACGUGUCUCAACUACGCGUAGCAUUUCCUGCUCGCAACGUAGACCCAAUCCUCAAUUUUCGGGCGAAAUUCUCACUUGGGAAUUCGCGCCCACUCCAAACAGGAGCAACCAAGACCCCAAACCACGUCAAGUCCUCGGGUUGGGUCACAACACACUAGGUGUAUCCUCGAUCUUACGAUCCACCACGUGGCAUUCCACGCACCCGGGUCUAAGCUCGGACUACCGUCCUGACCAACUCUCUGCCCUACCUAUANACUUCAAACAGUGCACGGCUAGGGGCACCUUGUCCCGCUCCAAGGUGUACAGCUCCUCGAAGAGUGUUUCCAUAGCGUCAAUCCACAUCUCCACGAUCCAUGGAUCGACAUUCUCUCCAUCGAAAACAGGCAGAUCAAACUUCUUGAAGGUCAUUAGGGCAGUCAAAGCCCGCUCUUUCUCCGCCUCCAUUUCCACAGAAUCAGAGGCCACUACCCCUGAAUCCAUCACCACUCCUGCCGGUACACGACGUGCUGCUACCGGCGCAGCCGCCGCAGUCUGUCGUGCCAACAACUCAUGGAGCUCCUUGAUCUGCUCCUCCUGUCGCACCACUACGCCCAUGAGCGUACUCAUCUGCUCGCAGAGCACCGGGUCUCCGCUCGCCUCGGAUUGCUCAGGGACGUCACUUGUCCCAUCCCGUGUCGAUCUAGACGAAGGUCGCCUACGCGGUGCCAUCGUUCCCUGAAAUACGACAACUCAAUUAAUUCUCAACCCUCUGGGUCAAGCACGAGACAAUUUAACAUUGACUCAAAUCGGGCGAAAGUCACGCAAGGGCGUCUAUUCUCAUCACUCAGUUUCAUGUUGUGUGCACCCAACAUGAACACCCUCGGUUGAGAAUAAACCACACCUCGAGUCUACCUCUAAUAUCCGUCAUAGAGGUUUCAACACAACCCAAUCAAUGAACCUUUCGCCAUAAGUCACAAGUCCUCGUCUCUCACGAGCCUUAUUCUCCUAUGGUUUACUAUCCUAGGGUCUCCUAGGUCCAUCCAAACCAUUGCCCAUUCUCUACUUUAUGCUCUGAUACCACUUUAUCUGUCACGCCCCGGGCCUCGCCAAUUUGGCCGAGUUCGGGCGCGUCGACAGACUGCCGAACGGACAGAGUUUCCCCUGUACGUCCUGAGCGUCGCAAUCAAUACAAUGAACAUUACAAGGGUUCCAACUAGGAACAGAUAUCAAUCAUGAUUGCAAAAGGAAAGUAUCACAACAUAACACAUCCUAUGUUAUUACAUGCAUUCACAAUAAUACAUUUACUUUACAUCCAACUCCCAAAUGCAAUUAAGUUAUUACAUCAUUUGCUUAUUACAAAUUGAUGCAUUGUAUUCUUUUCAUUUCCCAAACCCCAAGGCUAUGUCGACGGGGUAUUGCUAUCUCUGGUCUCUGGGUAGGACGCUAUCUAUAGAGUUACGUCCUUUCCUCGCGCCGCCGCGCCGCUCACGUGCGAACCUGAAACACCCCGAAACAACGUGGGGUGAGAACUAACUCCAUGGUUCCCAGUGGGUACGGCCACCCAAGGGAAGUGCUCAACUGAUAGGUCCAAGGAGGCAACAACAUGUUAGUUCAAUAGAUAAAUAUGAAAUCAUAAUUUAAAUGCAACUAACAUAUAUCAUGCUUUGCCUCACAAUAUGCAACAAGAAUAUUAUGCAACUAUGCAACUGUAUAAACAACUAGUAGAUGUGUUGAUUCUACGUUUACUUUGCUAACUUUAGCUCAUUUCAUUCAAUUAUAAGGUUUCUAUUACCUUAGGUUCUUGCCUCAAUCACUAGCUUAUAAGGUUUCCAUUAACCUAAUCAAGCUAACCACCCGACUCGGCCUCGAGUCAAUCAUCCGCGGAUAGUCCGCGCACUGAAUGCACAUCAGCCUGGCUGCCGUCACAGCCUACCGCAAAUCUGACUUAACCAUCUGGUGGCGAAUUCAUCGCAUCGAACCCAACAACAACUCAAGUCAUGACUUAGCCAUCUGGCGGCGAACUAAUCGCACCUCACCCAACAAUGGUUCAAGAUGUGACUUAGUCAUCUGGCAGCGACCACAUCGCUCUUACCGAGCAAGGUUCAAGUCAUUCUAGGCGGCAUCAUCUGAUAAGCUAAUGGGCGAGGAGAACCACACAUACCCAAUUCAAGCUUAUUCUCAUGGCAUCCCGGGCGAGGAGAAUCACACAUACCCGUUGAAUCACUGCCUGGCGAGGAGAACCACACAUACCUACAGUUAGGAUUCGCUUGCCAUCUCUUUUACCACAAUUUCCACCGCGCCAUGUGCGGCCACAUCACUAGGGAUUCCGGAAUCCACUUCAUAUAUCUCAUACUAUUUUUAUUUAUUUUCACUUUUGUAUUUAAAAUCCGGUAUGCGUUCCACUUCAACCUCACCGGAACCAUUUAAAUAUACACCGUAACUUCAUAGUUUUAGAGGUCCGGUACCUUACAAGACCCAACAUACCCACAGUUCUGAUUCACUUGCGCUCGGUCGC